RNAcentral lists this ribosomal RNA (404 nucleotides) under uncultured bacterium. RNAcentral's name for it is "bacterial SSU rRNA". It matches the Rfam family "Bacterial small subunit ribosomal RNA", at positions 362 to 758 of the family's 1533-position model. The record is from RNAcentral.
UUUUGGACAAUGGGCGCAAGCCUGAUCCAGCAAUGCCGCGUGCAGGAAGAAGGCCUUCGGGUUGUAAACUGCUUUUGUACGGAACGAAACGGUCCUGGUUAAUACCUGGGGCUAAUGACGGUACCGUAAGAAUAAGCACCGGCUAACUACGUGCCAGCAGCCGCGGUAAUACGUAGGGUGCAAGCGUUAAUCGGAAUUACUGGGCGUAAAGCGUGCGCAGGCGGUUUUGCAAGACAGGCGUGAAAUCCCCGGGCUUAACCUGGGAAUGGCGCUUGUGACUGCAAAGCUGGAGUGCGGCAGAGGGGGAUGGAAUUCCGCGUGUAGCAGUGAAAUGCGUAGAUAUGCGGAGGAACACCGAUGGCGAAGGCAAUCCCCUGGGCCUGCACUGACGCUCAUGCACGAAG